This is a transfer RNA of Blastocystis hominis, 72 nucleotides long. It matches the Rfam family "tRNA". Rfam says of the family: Transfer RNA (tRNA) molecules are approximately 80 nucleotides in length. The record is from Rfam. NCBI's taxonomy places the organism in Eukaryota, Bigyra, Opalinata, Blastocystidae.
GGUCCUAUAGUGUAGUGGCUAUCACUCAGGACUUUGAAUUCUGCGACCUGGGUUCGAAUCCCGGUAGGACCU